Molecule: ribosomal RNA, 253 nt
Filed under: uncultured bacterium
Lineage: Bacteria
Description: partial 16S ribosomal RNA
Rfam family: Bacterial small subunit ribosomal RNA
Source: RNAcentral
UACGUAGGGGGCAAGCGUUAUCCGGAUUUACUGGGUGUAAAGGGAGCGUAGACGGCAAUGCAAGUCUGGAGUGAAAGGCGGGGGCCCAACCCCCGGACUGCUCUGGAAACUGUAUAGCUGGAGUGCAGGAGAGGUAAGUGGAAUUCCUAGUGUAGCGGUGAAAUGCGUAGAUAUUAGGAGGAACACCAGUGGCGAAGGCGGCUUACUGGACUGUAACUGACGUUGAGGCUCGAAAGCGUGGGGAACAAACAGG